ACUGAUGAAAUUAAUUCGUCUAUGAUCCUGUAUGUAAUUGACAACAUGAACAAUGCAAUU
This 60-nucleotide small RNA is filed under the name Salix viminalis (osier). Lineage: Eukaryota; Viridiplantae; Streptophyta; Magnoliopsida; Malpighiales; Salicaceae. The record is from RNAcentral.